UUCCCGGCCAAAAUUCGAUCGAUCCGGCCACUGAUUGGGCUGGGUCUUGUGUCAAACAAUAUCUACACCUCGAGAGCUUUCCAUAGACACCAAGAACACCAAAAUUUAUCGAGCGGUUUAUUCAAUUUUUGUCCGGGAAGUUUUAGCCCAUUUUAAUUUUUGGGCUAGAUUUCUCGCAAACCGUGAACCCCAAAAGAAAACCGAGAGUACUAGAGCGCUCCACUCGUCGAGAGCUUCGCGACAAUAUAAAUUUCAAAAUUUUCUGACACCGUUUUUCGGUGGGUCCCACGAAAAUUCGUAGUAUUUUUCCUAGCAUUAAAUGAGCUUAAAAAAUUUCGUAAAAAUUAUAUACUAACCCUCGUAUUGUGGGCUUCGUGUAGGUACCUUCAAUUCACAAAAAUUUGAUGGUUGCCUGAGUCUGUGAAUUUCGAGCCAAACAGGCAGGCUACCGAAAAAGUAUCGGAAUUGGAUCAAGAUUUUGGCUACCCCACCGUUGUCAGAUGUCCUGAGUGCGUUCCCGAGAUCAGAAUCGGCAUAGGUGAGCCGGGACAACCUUCCUCCUCCGCCCAGCUGCCACAGUGACUUCGGUUGAGUCUGUGAGCUGGGCUAGCCUUCCUCCUCCGCCCAACCACCGCAGUGACUUGUGAAGUACUGUAUUUGAGACACAGCUGGAGAGCCCAGCAGACCUACGACCGGGUGAGACAUCAGAUCUGCACAGGAGUCCAGAGUCAUCUACACUGUAUUGCAUACAUGGUAGGACUUAGGAUAUCUUGUAUUUUAUACUUCUGUUAUAUUUUGAAAUUCGGCCCUGUUUUUUUUGUAAUAUUAUAAAAGCUCUAAAGUUUGUAAUAUUUUGUACAUAUUAAAUAACAUGGAGAUUUUUUGGAUA
Long non-coding RNA from Hevea brasiliensis (rubber tree), 889 nucleotides. RefSeq lists it as uncharacterized. NCBI's taxonomy places the organism in Eukaryota, Viridiplantae, Streptophyta, Magnoliopsida, Malpighiales, Euphorbiaceae. The record is from RefSeq and is a predicted model, not a curated record. The transcript has 4 exons.